UGUGGGGCCACGCCCUCAGGCUGUCACUGUCCGAUACCGGCCGGAGGCGGGGCUACCUGGG
This 61-nucleotide non-coding RNA is filed under the name Sus scrofa (pig). Lineage: Eukaryota; Metazoa; Chordata; Mammalia; Artiodactyla; Suidae. The record is from RNAcentral.